UACCCCGAGGAAAAGAAAUCAACCGAGAUUCCCCCAGUAGCGGCGAGCGAACGGGGAGCAGCCCAGAGUCUGAAUCAGCUUGUGUGUUAGUGGAACGGUCUGGAAAGUCCGACGGUACAGGGUGAUAGUCCCGUACACCAAAAUGCACAGGCUGUGAACUCGAAGAGUAGGGCGGGACACGUGGUAUCCUGUCUGAAUAUGGGGGGACCAUCCUCCAAGGCUAAAUACUCCUGACUGACCGAUAGUGAACCAGUACCGUGAGGGAAAGGCGAAAAGAACCCCGGCGAGGGGAGUGAAAAAGAACCUGAAACCGUGUACGUACAAGCAGUGGGAGCACCUUCGGGUGUGACUGCGUACCUUUUGUAUAAUGGGUCAGCGACUUAUAUUCUGUAGCAAGGUUAACCGUAUAGGGGAGCCGCAGGGAAACCGAGUCUUAACUGGGCGUUAAGUUGCAGGGUAUAGACCCGAAACCCGGUGAUCUAGCCAUGGGCAGGUUGAAGGUUGGGUAACACUAACUGGAGGACCGAACCGACUAAUGUUGAAAAAUUAGCGGAUGACUUGUGGCUGGGGGUGAAAGGCCAAUCAAACCGGGAGAUAGCUGGUUCUCCCCGAAAGCU
This 617-nucleotide ribosomal RNA is filed under the name Klebsiella pneumoniae. RNAcentral's name for it is "partial 23S ribosomal RNA". It matches the Rfam family "Bacterial large subunit ribosomal RNA", at positions 207 to 867 of the family's 2925-position model. Lineage: Bacteria; Pseudomonadati; Pseudomonadota; Gammaproteobacteria; Enterobacterales; Enterobacteriaceae. The record is from RNAcentral.